Molecule: small nucleolar RNA, 75 nt
Organism: Balaenoptera musculus (blue whale)
Lineage: Eukaryota; Metazoa; Chordata; Mammalia; Artiodactyla; Balaenopteridae
Source: Ensembl
UGAACCAAUGGUGAGAAUUGGCAGAGGUUGAGGCACAGAUGAUGAAUAAUAAGUAUCUGGAACCCUGAGGUCCAA